RNAcentral lists this ribosomal RNA (275 nucleotides) under uncultured Enterobacteriaceae bacterium. RNAcentral describes it as "partial 16S ribosomal RNA". It matches the Rfam family "Bacterial small subunit ribosomal RNA", at positions 355 to 625 of the family's 1533-position model. The record is from RNAcentral. Lineage: Bacteria; Pseudomonadati; Pseudomonadota; Gammaproteobacteria; Enterobacterales; Enterobacteriaceae.
UGGGGAAUAUUGCACAAUGGGCGCAAGCCUGAUGCAGCCAUGCCGCGUGUAUGAAGAAGGCCUUCGGGUUGUAAAGUACUUUCAGCGAGGAGGAAGGCAUUAAGGUUAAUAACCUUAGUGAUUGACGUUACUCGCAGAAGAAGCACCGGCUAACUCCUGCCAGCAGCCGCGGUAAUACGGGGGUGCAAGCGUUAAUCGGAAUUACUGGGCGUAAAGCGCACGCAGGCGGUUUGUUAGUCAGAUGUGAAAUCCCCGGGCUCAACCUGGGAACUGCA